UACGAAGGGUGCAAGCGUUAUUCGGAAUCAUUGGGCGUAAAGCGCGCGCAGGCGGAUUGAUAAGUCAGGUGUGAAAUCUCGAGGCUCAACCUCGAAACUGCGCCUGAAACUAUUAGUCUAGAAUGUCGGAGGGGGCAGGGGAAUUUCACGUGUAGGGGUAAAAUCCGUAGAGAUGUGAAGGAACACCGGGGGCGAAGGCGCCUGCCUGGACGACUAUUGACGCUGAGGCGCGAAAGCGUGGGGAGCAAACAGG
Molecule: ribosomal RNA, 253 nt
Filed under: uncultured bacterium
Lineage: Bacteria
Description: partial 16S ribosomal RNA
Rfam family: Bacterial small subunit ribosomal RNA
Source: RNAcentral